CUUGGUCAUUUAGAGGAAGUAAAAGUCGUAACAAGGAUCCCGUAGGUGAACCUGCGGAAGGAUCAUUAAUAAAAUAUGGCCCACGCAGCCAGACAGUUAAACCUGUCUGUUACUGCGUGGGUUGUAUACAACCACCUGUUUACCUGUACCUGUUGCUUCCGUGGAGUUACGGGUGCUCACCCUGUUCGCAGGUGUGGGUUACCUUCCACGGGUGUAGUUUGAACGCUUGUUUAGUUGAAUGUAGUGUCUGAAUAACUAUUGUAAUAAAGUUAAAACUUUCAACAACGGAUCUCUAGGUUCUCGCAUCGAUGAAGAACGCAGCGAAAUGCGAUAAGUAGUGUGAAUUGCAGAUUUCAGUGAAUCAUCGAAUCUUUGAACGCACAUUGCGCCCUUUGGUAUUCCGAAGGGCAUGCCUGUCUGAGCGUCAAUAAAUCAAUCAAACUUUGGUUUGGUAUUGGAAGAAGUGGCAUUUGUGUCACUCUUCUGUAAGCUAUUGGCGACGCUGUUCUAGCUUGCAAGACGUAGUAAGUAAUUCCUCGUCGAAGCAUCUGUUCGGCUGUCUGCCAACUGAACGAUUUAUUUCUACAGCUUGACCUCAGAUCAGGUAGGGAUACCCCCUGAACUUAAGCAUAUCAAUAAGCGGAGGA
RNAcentral lists this ribosomal RNA (647 nucleotides) under uncultured fungus. RNAcentral's name for it is "eukaryotic LSU rRNA". The stretch from base 274 to 427 matches the Rfam family "5.8S ribosomal RNA". The record is from RNAcentral. Lineage: Eukaryota; Fungi.